UACGGGUUUAGACCCGAGCAAAUAGCUCCGUAACAGUGGUCAAACUACCCUCUGGACCGGAAUACCCUCGGGAAACUGAGGCUAAUUCCGGAUACUGCUUUCAUGUUGGAACACAGAAAGUCGGAAACGGUCCGCCGCCGGAGGACGUGACUGCGGCCGAUUAGGUAGACGGUGGGGUAACGGCCCACCGUGCCGAUAAUCGGUACGGGUUGUGAGAGCAAGAACCCGGAGACGGUAUCUGAGACAAGAUACCGGGCCCUACGGGGCGCAGCAGGCGCGAAACCUUUACACUGCACGCCAGUGCGAUAAGGGGACCCCGAGUGCGAGGGCAUACAGUCCUCGCUUUUCGUGACCGUAAGAAGGUCUCAGAAUAAGAGCUGGGCAAGACCGGUGCCAGCCGCCGCGGUAAUACCGGCAGCUCGAGUGAUAGCCACUAUUAUUGGGCCUAAAGCGUCCGUAGCCGGCCGAACAGGUCCGUCGGGAAAUCCACCCGCUCAACGGGUGGACGUCCGGCGGAAACCAGUCGGCUUGGGGCCGGGAGACCAGAGAGGUACGUCCGGGGUAGGAGUGAAAUCCCGUAAUCCUGGACGGACCGCCGGUAGCGAAAGCGUCUCUGGAGAACGGACCCGACGGUGAGGGACGAAAGCUUGGGUCUCGAACCGGAUUAGAUACCCGGGUAGUCCAAGCUGUAAACGAUGCUCGCUAGGUGUGGCGUUGGCUACGAGCCAGCGCUGUGCCGUAGGGAAGCCGAGAAGCGAGCCGCCUGGGAAGUACGUCCG
Molecule: ribosomal RNA, 779 nt
Filed under: Halococcus thailandensis
Lineage: Archaea; Methanobacteriati; Methanobacteriota; Halobacteria; Halobacteriales; Halococcaceae
Description: bacterial SSU rRNA
Rfam family: Archaeal small subunit ribosomal RNA
Source: RNAcentral